CACAUAGCCAACGGGCAGGAAACAAACUUCCUGCGUUCAGUGCCUCAACAGCAGCUGACAUUUCUUACUGCGCCCAGUUAGCACUUGACUGAGGAGAAAAAAGAGUUGUACACAGGGAUGCCCUUUUGGGCAAGAUAGUGACAGCACCCUCUGCCACCCUCUCCUGUUGGAUCACUGGGGAGAUCUUGGAACCCCAGCUGUCUGAGCCUACCCACAGGAAGUGACCCGUCUGAUUGUUCCGCCUGGCAGCGUCCAGGAUUCGCCUGCAGUGGAGACACAAUAUCAUGCUGGCCUUUCUUUCCAGCCCAACAGCAGUACUGAGGUUGGACAAGGGGAAACUGCACUGUUACACAGCACUGCAUCUCUCAGCGUCGGUCCAAAAAACCAGGGAGAGAAAGAAGAGUUCUGCC
Conger conger (European conger) is the source of this 410-nucleotide long non-coding RNA. RefSeq lists it as uncharacterized. The transcript has 3 exons. The record is from RefSeq and is a predicted model, not a curated record. Lineage: Eukaryota; Metazoa; Chordata; Actinopteri; Anguilliformes; Congridae.